AAACCAACCGGGAUUGCCUCAGUAACGGCGAGUGAAGCGGCAAAAAGCUCAAAUUUGAAAUCUGGCACUUUCAGUGUCCGAGUUGUAAUUUGUAGAAGUAGUUUUGGGACUGGUCCUUAUCUAUGUUUCUUGGAACAGGACGUCAUAGAGGGUGAGAACCCCGUAUGAUGAGGCCCCCAGUCCUUUGUAAAGCGCUUUCGAAGAGUCGAGUUGUUUGGGAAUGCAGCUCUAAGUGGGUGGUAAAUUCCAUCUAAAGCUAAAUAUUGGCGAGAGACCGAUAGCGAACAAGUACAGUGAUGGAAAGAUGAAAAGAACUUUGAAAAGAGAGUGAAAAAGUACGUGAAAUUGUUGAAAGGGAAGGGCAUUUGAUCAGACAUGUGUUUUGCGCCCUUUGCUCCUUGUGGGCGAGGAUACGCAGCUCACUGGGCCAACAUCAGUUUUGGGAGCAGGAUAAAUCUGUAGGAACGUAGCUUUCUUCGGGAAGUGUUAUAGCCUAUGGGAAUACUGCUACCUGGGUA
Molecule: ribosomal RNA, 518 nt
Filed under: uncultured Hanseniaspora
Lineage: Eukaryota; Fungi; Ascomycota; Saccharomycetes; Saccharomycodales; Saccharomycodaceae
Description: eukaryotic LSU rRNA
Rfam family: Eukaryotic large subunit ribosomal RNA
Source: RNAcentral